CCUGAAAUCAUCCACGGCCAUCGACACAGCAAGACUCCGGUUCCAUUGGCAAGACGAGUCCGAAAGAGUGUUGUACUCGUUCAACAAAGGAGAAGAGAAUCAACAUCAGGAUAGUCUUUACACAAACAGAACUAAAGCCUUUGUGUCUGAGAUGAGUUCUGGGAAUAUCUCUAUCAAACUCAGCCAAGUAACACUUGAAGACAAGCAGAACGUCUACAGGGCUUUCGCUACACUGUUUGGCGAGAAUGAUAAGCAUAUCCAACCGUGUCGCACUACCCUACUUGUGGCAGCACGGUUCCCGACACCCAGUGUGACUGUGAACAAGACAAAUAUGAAUUCCACGUGUUCAACCCAGGGUGGAUACCCACAACCAAUGGUCACAUGGACCAUCCAGGACCGUGGGAACCGCACUCUGGACCCGUGGGAAGUACAGACCAACAUUACUCUGGAUUCUGAAAGUGGACUGUACAGCGUCUGGAGCCAAGUGAAUAUAACAGAAAAUCAGACGGUGACCUGCCAUAUCUUCAACCCCGUUCUGAGAGAGACUGUGAGCAACACAACCAUCGUCAGCCCCAGUGAUGUUCAGGAAGGCUUUACUCCCAUCAUUAUCACAAUAGUGAUCAUUGCAGUAUUGAUUCUGUUUUCCAUCGGGGGUUAUUUUGUG
This is a long non-coding RNA of Oncorhynchus tshawytscha (Chinook salmon), 664 nucleotides long. NCBI's taxonomy places the organism in Eukaryota, Metazoa, Chordata, Actinopteri, Salmoniformes, Salmonidae. The record is from Ensembl.